UACGAAGGGGGCUAGCGUUGCUCGGAAUCACUGGGCGUAAAGCGCACGUAGGCGGAUCUUUAAGUCAGGGGUGAAAUCCCGGAGCUCAACUCCGGAACUGCCUCUGAUACUGAAGGUCUUGAGUUCGGGAGAGGUGAGUGGAACUGCGAGUGUAGAGGUGAAAUUCGUAGAUAUUCGCAAGAACACCAGUGGCGAAGGCGGCUCACUGGCCCGAUACUGACGCUAAUGCGCGACAGCGUGGGGAGCAAACAGG
RNAcentral lists this ribosomal RNA (253 nucleotides) under uncultured bacterium. Its description in RNAcentral is "partial 16S ribosomal RNA". It matches the Rfam family "Bacterial small subunit ribosomal RNA", at positions 524 to 776 of the family's 1533-position model. The record is from RNAcentral.